This 468-nucleotide ribosomal RNA is filed under the name uncultured bacterium. RNAcentral describes it as "partial 16S ribosomal RNA". It matches the Rfam family "Bacterial small subunit ribosomal RNA", at positions 28 to 507 of the family's 1533-position model. The record is from RNAcentral.
GACGAACGCUGGCGGCGUGCUUAACACAUGCAAGUCGAACGGAAAGGCCCUGCUUUUGUGGGGUGCUCGAGUGGCGAACGGGUGAGUAACACGUGAGUAACCUGCCCUUGACUUUGGGAUAACUUCAGGAAACUGGGGCUAAUACCGGAUAGGAGCUCCUGCUGCAUGGUGGGGGUUGGAAAGUUUCGGCGGUUGGGGAUGGACUCGCGGCUUAUCAGCUUGUUGGUGGGGUAGUGGCUUACCAAGGCUUUGACGGGUAGCCGGCCUGAGAGGGUGACCGGGCCCAUUGGGACUGAGAUACGGCCCAGACUCCUACGGGAGGCAGCAGUGGGGAAUAUUGCACACUGGGCGGAAGCCUGAUGCAGCACCGCCGCGUGCGGGAUGACGGCCUUCGGGUUUUAUACCGCUUUCGCCUGUGACGAAGCGUGAGUGACGGUAAUGGGUAAAGAAGCACCGGCUAACUACGUG